RNAcentral lists this long non-coding RNA (548 nucleotides) under Sinocyclocheilus anshuiensis. RNAcentral's name for it is "lncRNA (ENSSANG00000046196.1)". Lineage: Eukaryota; Metazoa; Chordata; Actinopteri; Cypriniformes; Cyprinidae. The record is from RNAcentral.
CACCGAUCCGCAGAAACGCACGCUGCUGUCCUCUGUUCUUUUCAAAAGUGAAACGAAUAAGAUUAAAACGAACAAAGAGAAACGUCUGUAAGUGUACCAUCGGGGUUAUUUUCUCAGAUAGGGAAGAGAGCGAGAGGGGAGAGAGGGAGAAGGACAACGAAUGGGAACACAAGGCACGCAUGAAAACAGCUCUGAAGAAAUGGUAAAGUGGACACUUGGACAUUCAAAGUGCGAGCGCCCAGCGACCGGUGGGUAUUACUUGGGAUCGGCGGUUUCUCAGUUGAAAGAAACGGGUGAAUCACCCAACUGCCAGUGUGGGGCUCUGUUGAAUGCCUGAUUAAGGUGGCCGUCACUGGGCAUGAAGAAAAACAGAUAUACAAAGAUGGGCAGCAAUGAGAUAUCCGCAGGCGCUUGGUGGAAAAACACAUGGUUUGAUUAUGCUUAUUGAUACACACACUUACACCCAUAGAAUGUAAAAACAGCACCUGCAUCUCUGUUUACACGUCACCCUCUUGUACUGUACAUAGAGUGUCCCUCUAUCAGUUCUA